This 231-nucleotide long non-coding RNA is filed under the name Elaeis guineensis (African oil palm). Its description in RNAcentral is "long non-coding RNA (EGUI_LNC010313)". The record is from RNAcentral. Lineage: Eukaryota; Viridiplantae; Streptophyta; Magnoliopsida; Arecales; Arecaceae.
CGACAUGCUGGUGAAGAGCACUCAGACUUUAGAUCAUAUUUAAGAUCUGAAAGAAGCUUUCGACACACUUCGACGACAUCGGAUGAGGCUGCAUCUGACCAAAUGUGUCUUCGGGGUGACCUUGGGAAAAUUCCUCGGAUUCUUCAUUUUUCAAUGGGGGAUCGAGGUUAAUCCUGAAAAAAUAAAAGUCAUCAUCAACAUGAGGCACCCGAACACAAAAAAAGAGAUACA